RNAcentral lists this ribosomal RNA (497 nucleotides) under uncultured bacterium. RNAcentral describes it as "partial 16S ribosomal RNA". It matches the Rfam family "Bacterial small subunit ribosomal RNA", at positions 28 to 507 of the family's 1533-position model. The record is from RNAcentral.
GAUGAACGCUGGCGGCGUGCCUAAUACAUGCAAGUCGAGCGAACAGACGAGGAGCUUGCUCCUCUGACGUUAGCGGCGGACGGGUGAGUAACACGUGGAUAACCUACCUAUAAGACUGGGAUAACUUCGGGAAACCGGAGCUAAUACCGGAUAAUAUAUUGAACCGCAUGGUUCAAUAGUGAAAGACGGUCUUGCUGUCACUUAUAGAUGGAUCCGCGCUGCAUUAGCUAGUUGGUAAGGUAACGGCUUACCAAGGCAACGAUGCGUAGCCGACCUGAGAGGGUGAUCGGCCACACUGGAACUGAGACACGGUCCAGACUCCUACGGGAGGCAGCAGUAGGGAAUCUUCCGCAAUGGGCGAAAGCCUGACGGAGCAACGCCGCGUGAGUGAUGAAGGUCUUCGGAUCGUAAAACUCUGUUAUUAGGGAAGAACAAAUGUGUAAGUAACUAUGCACGUCUUGACGGCACCUAAUCAGAAAGCCACGGCUAACUACGUG